UCACCCCACAGACUCAGACUGGGAGAGGGGGGUUACUGUUUGUGUGGGAAGUGCAGAUUGGGUGAGACUUGAGGGACCUGAGGCUAAGGGAGGAGGAGAUGGUGUAUAUGGGCAAAAGCUCGAGUGCUUAGAGGGUGUAGUCAGUCUGAAACAAAGACUCAGUCAGAUACACCUGUUGGGUCUUAGCAGUUGUUAGUUGGAGUACUUAUCGCCUGUUUUGUAAAGGGCUCUUCGAAAUGGUUCUGUGAAGAAUGCCCUUCUCUGUGAUAUGUUUUGAAUAGUCAGUGUUCCCCUGUCUUUAGUAGGCAACAUAAUGUUCCUUAUGCAAGUUUUUUUCUGUACUGUUAUUUUUAGUUUCUCAUUCCCGCUCUCCUGUCUCACCGUUCUGUUGUCUCUGCUUUUGUGCGUUCUCUGUGCCAAACUCACAUUGCUGCACUUCUAGUCCCACCCCUGCUCUCUCAUUUGCCUCGUGGUGUUUUCCCAAGCUCAUUGCGCACUCGGGUUAUAGCUAUCAGGGAUCCUUGGGACGUACCUAACCGUAACCAUUUUACAUGUCAAUGAGUUGGACGUCCCAAGGGUCCCUCCUCCAACCACCACAUUGGUCAAACAGUUUUUUCCUCUGUAGGGCCAGCAGGCUAAAUGUUAAUGGGCCGUGUGUGUUGGUGUAGGAUGUGUGAUAUGGUUGGGAAAUGAGACCACUGGGUUGUCAGCGUAAAGCAGGAAACUCUAGCUCUGAGAGGAAGUGUAUGUGUUUACCCGUGUGGCUGUGGAGGAAUGAGGCUGCUCGCCUCCCAUCUCCUGUGCUUAAUGAUCCUCACCCGGGGGCUCUUGUGUCUGCACGGCAGUGAGCUCAGCCCGGGAAGGAUCUGUCGAACUUCAGUCUCCCAAGCCCAGCCCCCUCUCUCCCCUCGCCAGCACAGCCAACUGUCACACCUGGCCGACUGGCCGUGACAUUGAGACUGCAAUGACAUUGAGACUGCAAUGAAACACAGCUGGCUCUCCUACUUGAGUGACCAUGGGAAUCAGCAGUUGCUAUGUGUGUGCCUCCUUGUUUUCCCUGUGUUGUAUGACGCUGUAGAUUACCAAUGGCAAAGUGGUAGAAGAUGGGUCCUUUACUAGGUGUCGCCUAAUGGGAAUCCUAAUAAAUACAAUCAAGAUUCACAUGUAAACAGUUUUGUCGAGUUGUUGUUUUCAGGGGCCAAAUGGAGACCAUAACCAGGUAGCACAGAGGCCACCAUGUUUUGAAUGUGUCAGAAUGUGGCCCCAGGGUUUCACAGCAGUAAGUGCGAGAGGGGCGGUCCUAUCACCAGAGCUCCAACCAACUCACUAUGCAUCCAGAUAGGUGGUAUGCAGGCAUCCAACUUAUUUAUCGAUCUUUGGUUCUUCUCAAGGUCAGGUAUGAGACUGUAUCUCAAUGCUCUCUGGAGCGAAUGCAUGGCACAUCCUGAGGAUGCAAGGGCGUCUUCCUGUGUUAUGGUGUGCCUUGCUACGUGUCGCGUGGGAGGGGAGGUUUGAGUGUUGUUGUCAAUUGAUGGCUCCUGUAGGAGCCAUGUAAGAGGAGGAGUGGGAAGGUAAGUGAGAAUAGCCUUCACACAAUGAAGGCAGGCCUCCCAACCCCCUCCCUCUAACUGCCUACUUGAACCCCUCCUGGAGCUGUUAACGGCAUUGGCAUGGAAAGUAUCUGCAGUGAGGCUCUGCAGAGAAGCCAGCCCUGAUAACAUGGCCUCUAUGGGUCUGCUGGAGCUCUGGAGCCAUCAGAUACAGCCCCAGUGGCAGGACUUAUCACACAAGGCCACACAUUGUCGUUGGGACACGAGCAUUGAUUGGGAGAACUGGGCGCUUUUCUUAUAUCUUCAAAUGCAUCCGCCAGUCUACUCACUCUUCUGUUGACUGUCUUGUAGAAUCACUGACUGAGCAUGUGUUCUGUUUUCUUUGUAGUGUGGCCCUAUGGUGAAUGCUUUAAAUGAGCAGUGGCCUUUGACACUGGGCCUCCCUGGCUCUACCUGGGGUAUCUGCCGGCCUGCGGAGCGAGGAGCUCUGGGACCUUUGUGCACACAUUCAAUCAACCUGCUGUGUUAACCCACCACAGAGGCUCUGUUUACGUAAUCAUCAGCAAAUGUUUGUGAAUUGUGUGGGUGUUUUUUCUCUUGACGCAAGAGGCUCAUGGCUGCAGCACACAAACUGAAGUCCAUUCCUUUGAAUGGUAUUGGCCCAUCGUUGAGUGAAAAUAUGUCCUGUGUUAGUCAGAGCCACUGACAUUGUGUAACAAAGGACAUGUCAAUGGCUCUGCUGACUGUAACACGGGACAUAUUUUCAGUCAACAAUGGGCCAAUCCCAUAUUAUGGCAGUUUUGACACCAGUGAUUUGCUCAUAAUGCCAGAAGCCAACCUCUGACCCUGUAUUCCAAGUGUGACGCUGCAAGCCACACACACACACUGGCCAGCUACCCUACCGUAGCAAGCUACAGAAAAGCCUUUGACAGUGCUAAAGGGGUUGAAGGUGCACUUUAGAGGAUGUGACACACCCUUGACUGAGCAUUGACUCACCUUCCAAUCAUCCUUCAAGCAUUUGACUCCCCUAAGGAGUGUUUAUCAGGCUGCUUUGUCAAGUUUUACUUCCUUGGUGAUAAGUCUGUCAACCCUUUGAUUUGGAUUGUUGACAAAGAUGGACAGGCAUAUCUUUGUCUUAUCCAUGUUCUAUCUGUACGAUGUGCAGAUCAUCGGGUUAACCUAGUGUAAGUGGUUCCUUGGGGCGUAGAGCGUGUUUUUGCUAUGUGUUUGAUCCCGGCAGUUUGAGCUCCUUGCAGGAGAGCUCCAGCUGCAGUGAGUGUCCCUCAUCACGGCCCUUAAAACACACUCUGCUUGAUUAACGGUGAGCCCACAGAGGGAUCGCCGUCACACUGAAGAAAGGGCACACACCCCACACUAAUUCCCUUUCCUUUGCCAUCUGAGCUGCCGAGUGGCACUUCAAAGGUGGAGUGGGAUGGUGUUAAUCCAGGACUGCUCUGCUGGGCUGGGCCCUGGCUCCCCCGGACGGCCCCAGGUUUGAAGUGUGAUCAAAGUGCAGUCUGCCACUGAUAGAUGGGGCCCAGGGGCUUGUUGUCAUGGGACCAGGAAGUGCCAGGGAGCGUGACACAGGAUCUCAGUGUCCCCCUGUUGACGGAAGGAGGGGGACCAGAUUAGAACCAAAAGUCCUCAUGAUAACCUACAGUACACACACACGGACACAGACUUACAUUCACAACAAGUCUACACACUCAUACACUCCCUCUCUCUCUCGUUUCCAAGGCUACACACACAGAUAUGUUUUUGUUAUCCUACAUGUACGUAUGUACAGUGGGGGAAAAAAAGUAUUUAGUCAGCCACCAAUUGUGCAAGUUCUCCCACUUAAAAAGAUGAGAGGCCUGUAAUUUUCAUCAUAGGUACACUUCAACUAUGACAGACCAAAUGAGGGGAAAAAAUCCAGAAAAUCACAUUGUGGGAUUUUUAAUGAAUUUAUUAGCUAAUUAUGGUGGAAAAUAUAUAUAUUUUUAUAACAUUGGAUAAAGUAGAGACCUAGCUGGAAAAUGUUAUGUCAAACACUGCAGUUGACGAAAAUGGAAAGUUAUUCUGCUUUGAAUGUGGAUAAACUUGUAACCCCACUUUUGAGAAAAUGGCCCAUGAAUGUUUUGGUACACCUACUGGAGAGCUCUUUGUCUACACCCAUAUAGCAUCGUUCACACCCUCUUAAGCCUCACCCAUCCCUUUGAUUCACAUGAGGCCACGUGCUAAAGAGUGAGUAGUGUAGUAAACAACCAGAAAUUUCAAGACUAAAUGUGUUUAAAACUACAAUAAGGAAACUCAAGGUAAUAUAUAUAUAUAUAUAUAUAUCUUUUUUUUAAUUGAACCUGGUAAAACCCAUUUGAGGUUAACCAGUUGGAUUUAGGGGGCGCUAUUUUAAUUUAUGGAUGAAAAACGUUCCGUUUUAAACAAGAUAAUUUGUCACAAAAAGAUGCUCGACUAUGCAUAUAAUUGACAGCUUUGGAAAGAAGACACUCUGACGUUUCCAAAACCGCAAAGAUAUUGUCUGUGAGUGCCACAGAACUGAUGUUCCAGGCGAAACCUAGAUAAAAAUCCAACCAGGAAGUGCCGCAUUUCUUGAAACCGCCUCAUGCCAAUGACUCCUUAUAUGGCUGUGAAUGAGCUACGAAUGAGCUUACGUUUUCCACGUUUCCCCCAAGGUGUCUACAGCAUUGUGACGUCUUUUUAGGCAUUUCCCUUGAAUAAUGGCUGUAAGGGACCAUAUAUGGCAUGUGGUCACAUGGUGUCUCCCGCAGAAAACCUUGCGUAAAAUACUGAGGUAGCCAUUUUUCCAAUCGCUUCUUAUGAGAAACCAACUGCCUCGACGGAUAUAUUAUCGAAUAUAUAUGUUAAAAACACCUUGAGGAUGGAUCCUAAACAACGUUUGCCGUGUUUCUGUCGAUAUUAUGUAGCUAAUUUUGAAAAAGGUUUGGCGUUUGGUAAACAAAUCCAAACGCGCGUGCAAGUCCAGCGGAAAGGUCGGACGAAAAUUCCAAAAAGUUAUAUUACUGGUCGUAGAAACAUGUCAAACGAAGUAUAGGAUCAAUCUUUAGGAUGUUUUUAUCAUAAAUCUUCAAUAAUGUCCCAACUGGAGAAUUCUUUUGUCUGUAGAAAAGCAAUGGAACGCGCACUAACUCUCAUGACCGCACAUCACGCGCCCGUGGCUCUCAGGUUUUUGCAUGCCAUGAGUUCUGUUAUACUCACAGACAUCAUUCAAACUGUUUUCGAAACUUCAGUGUUUUCUAUCCAAUACUACUAACAAUAUGCAUAUAUUAGCAUCUGGGACUGUAACCAGCAGUUUACUCUGGGCACGCUUUUCAUCCAAAAGUGAAAAUGCUGCCCCCUAUCCCAAUACUGACUUGCCUAGUUAAAUAAAUGUAAAAACAAAAAAAGUCAAAACAGGGAAAUGGCAUCGUGUCCAUAAAAUAUUACAGAAAAAUACACAAAUUACUGAUACAAUUGAAGAUUAGAAACUGCAGUUAUCACAAACAGUGUUGUCGAUCAGUCUUAAGAAUAGACAAGGACGGCAGCGACUGUGAACAAAGACUGUAGUGAGUGACUGAUCUGGUCAGUAAAGAACAUAGAUACAAAGGCAGUUGUGUACAAAGCAUUGAUGGUACAAGUGUGCCAGUGCCUUAGCCUCCUGGUGGAGAGAGGGGUCCAUUGCACCAUAGCAUACACAUCACAGUGAUGGGUGAGUGAUCCAGCAUUUGUAAUACAUUUUAAAGCUCCAUGAUAGUGUCCAGAAUGUAAGGUACUUGCUGAGCCCUGCAUAUAGACAAUAUCACCACAAUCCAGCACUGAUAGUGCUUUGAACAAGAUCCUUUCUGACUUAACAUUGGAAAGCAAGAUGUUUUUCCUGAAAUAGAAACCCAAUUUAAACUUAAAGUUUGUCACAUGCACAGGAUACAGAAUAUGUAAAUGGUACAGUGAAAUGGCUACUUGAAUUGUAACAAUAUCAAAAACUGAAAGUGUCCAGAUAAGUAUUUUAUAAUUAUUAGAUGAUGCUUACCCAGACGGGCGGCAGCGUAGCCUAGUGGUUAGAGCGUUGGACUAGGAACCGGAAGGUUGCGUGUUCAAACCCCCGAGCUGACAAGGUACAAAUCUGUCGUUCUGCCCCUGAACAGGCAGUUAACCCACUGUUCCCAGGCCGUCAUUGAAAAUAAGAACGUGUUCUUAACUGACUUGCCUGGUUAAAUAAAGGUAAAAUAAAAAUAAAUAAAACACACUUGUCUAAAUUGAUGGGUCAUGUGAAAGAAAUGCUAUACCUCUUCCCCACCAGCCACAUCCACCUUAGUGGAGGGGUCACUGUUGUUGUUUAGACGUGUACACAUGUUCAUGAAAUGCAAUAGAUGGCUGUAUUCACCCCCAGACAAACCUGGUUAACUAGAUGAGUCCUGUAAUCAUCUGGCAAAGUGGAGUCUUUGUUUUUGACAGUUAGCUAAACAAUAAACCAGGAUUAUGCCAAUUUAUGCUACUACCACCAAUACAAACUGAUUGUCAUAGCUGUUGUAUGAAUCUGCAUCUAGUUCAAACUAACCAACUUGGUUCAAUGUUAGCUAGCUAGUGAACAUUAGGAUAUAACUAGCCAUGCAAAUGGUUUUCUGAUAAUAAUACUACACAGAUCAUAUACAUAACGUUAGCGAGCCAGCAAGCUAACAUUCGCUAGUUGGUUAACAGUAUUCUUUAGCUUGCAAUGAAAAUUACUUUCUGACAUUUGAAACUUAUAUCUGAAUGUAGCUAUACUCUUACUUGUAUACAUGGAUGAACGCUUCACGGCAGACUGGAACCAUUUAACUACAUUUCGUUUGUAGCUACAUCUUGUUUAGCCAGCGUUGUCAAGUCAUUAUGGUUCAUACUGACCGUGGCAUGUACAGAAAGUAGCCCAUCACAACUUUUUCCAACUGAUCUGUCAAUAGCGCCUGCUAAAUUCAGGGCCUCAAUAUUGAUAAGAAAAGUAGAAACCUCUCGAGGGCUAAUCUUAUACUGCAUCUUUCAAAAAAGACUACAAAGGAUUGUCAGCACAUUCUGAGCAGCUCACGUUGUAGACAGAAGCAUGCUACAUAGCAGACCAAUCUAAACUUAUCUCCCGGCAUGUCCUGCCCAUCCAUUAUCUCAGCCAAUCAGGAACCUUCCUGCUAGCCAUGUCUAUUUCCGUGUCUAAACCAUCUAGGCUCUUAAUUUUAACAAUUUUAUUUGUAUUUACAGAUGGAGUAAAAGUUGGCACAUGAAAGGCACAUGAAAGUUUGCGUUUCUGACAAGUGCAUUACGAUAAAUAAAAGUUCAAAUGUGCCUUCUGUCACGUGAUGUGCGACGUAUGCCUAGAUUCCUAAAACGGGUCAUGUGUAGAGAUGCAGGAAAUUAGCUUUAAAAAUAUAGCCUCAUUCCAAAACAUGUAGAUUAGCUAUAAAACUACAGAUGUUUCUAUUUGCUCAUGGCAAAAUGUAUAGAUUUGUAUGAAGUUAGCUGUUUUUCCCAUAAACUAUUUUUCUUAGGGGGGGGGGGGUCGGUCGGUCGGUUAUCAUAUUUGUAUUUGAACAAUGCAGUUCAAGAAAUAGAGUUGUAGCAUAACAGUCUUGUAUCAUAGCAUCCGGGCAAGGGAGCGCUUUGAAUGAGUCUCUGUAUGUGGAGUAAAGGUGGUCUAGAGUUUAAAAAAUAUAUUUCCUCUAGUUGCACAUGUGACACGCUGGUAGAUAUUAGUUAAAACGGAUUUAAGUGUGCCUGCAUUAAUGUCCCCGGCCACUAGGAGCGCAACUUCUGGAUGUGCAUUUUCUUGUUUGCUUAUGGCCUUACACAGCUCGUUGAGUGCAGUCGAGUGCCAGCAUCAUUUGUGGUGGUAGAUGGACAGCUACGAAUAAUAUAGAUGAGAACUCUCUUGGCAGUUAGUGUGGUCUACAGCUUAUAAUGAGGUACUUUUUCUCAGGCUAGCAGUACCUCGAGACUUCCUUAAUAUUAGACAUUGGACCAGCUGUUAUUGACAUAUAUAUAUAUAUCACACACACACCCCCCUCGUCUUACCAGACGUAGCUGUCCUGUCCUGCCAAUGCAUGGAAAACCCAGCCAACUGUAUAUUAUCCCUGUCGCAACGACUCUGUAAAACAUAAGAUAUUACAGUUUUUAAUGUCCUGUUGGUAGGAUAGUCUUGAACAGUGAUUUGGUUGACAGCCGUAUACCACGGGUAUGACAAUAUUUAUUUUUACUGCUGUAAUUAAGUUGGCAACCAGUUUAUAGUAGCAGUAAGGCACCUCAGGGGUUUGUGGUGUAUGGCCAAUGUACCACUCCGUGUUGCGUCGUGCCUAGGAACAGCCCUUAGCCAGGGUAUAUAGGCCAUAUCCCACACCCCCUCGGGCCUAAUUGCUUCCAUAGAAUGGAUGGUAGAGGUGGGUUACCCAGUUGCCAACAUAUUCUCACAAGGCACCCCGAUCUCCACCCCCUGUAUUUCCAUAUUUUCUACACGCAAAUUAUGGGAAUUUGGGCCUGAUCUAGGAGAAGCAGUACAUCCUUCGCGUCAGAAUCAUUAAAGACAAGAUCUUUGUCCAGUUCGAGGUGAGUAAUCGCUGUUCUGAUAUCCAGAAGCUCUUUUCGGUCAUAGGAGACUGUAGCAGCAACAUUAUGUACAAAAUAGGUUAGAAACAAUGUGGGAAAAAAACACAAAAUAGCACAGUUGGUUAGGAGACCGUAAAACUGCAGCCAUCCUCUCCGGCGCCAUUAUUGACCGAUGUCAGGGUCACGGCCUGUCACGGACAUCGACGGCCCGCUUUGAGGAUAAUACAGUGCUACCGACGCAGCCCGUUACCAAGGACUGUGAGCUCUCCUUCUCCGUGGCCGAUGUAAGACAUUUAAACGUGCUAACCCUCAGAAGGCUGCCGGCCCAGAAGUCAUCCCUAGCUGUGUCCUCAGAGCAUGCGCAGACCAGCUGGCUGGUGUGUUUACGGACAUAUUCAAUUUGUCCCUAUACCGGUCUGCUGUCCCCCACAUGCUUCAAGAUGGCCACCAUUAUUCCUGUUCCCAAGAAGGCUAAGGUCCACAGACGAUGCAAUCGCCAUCACACUGCACACUGCCCUAUUCCAUCUGGACAAGAGGAAUACCAAUGUAAGAAUGCUGUUCAUUGACUACAGCUCAGCAUUCAACACCAUAGUAGCUUCCAAGGUUGAGGCCCUGGGUCUCAACCCCGCCCUGUGCAAUUGGGUCCUGGACUUUCUGACAGACCGCCCCCAGGUGGUGAAGGUAGGAAACAACAUCUCUACUUUGCUGACCCUCAACACUAGGGCCCCACAGGGGUGCGUGCUCAGCCCCCUCCUGUACUCCCUGUUCACCCAUGACUGCGUGGCAAUGCACGCCUACAACUCAAUUAUCAAGUUUGCAGACGUUUCAACAGUAGAGGCUUGAUUACCAACAAUGACGAGCCUACAGGGAGGAGGUGAGGGCACUCGGGGUGUGGUGUCAGGAAAACAACCUCUCACUCAACGUCAACCAAACCAAAGGGGAUGAUCGUGGACUUCAGGAAACAGCAGAGGGAGCACUCCCCUAUCCACAUCGACGGGACAGCAGUGGAGAAGGUGGAACGUUUUAAGUUCCCCGACGUCGAUAUCACUGACAAACUGAAAUGGUCCACGCACACAGACAGUGUGGUCAAGGAGCAACAGUGCUUCUUCAACAUUAGGAGGCUGAAGAAAUUUGUCCUGUCAACUAAAAUUGUCACAAACUUUUACAGAUGUACAAUUGAGCAUAAAAAAACAACUUCCUCUCUAAGCCAUCAGACUUUUAAACAGCUAUUACUAACAGAGGCUGCUGCCUACAUACAGACAUGAAAUCAUUGUCCACUUUUAAUAAACAUGUUUACAUAUCUUGCAUCACUCAUCUCAUGUAUGUAUAUACUGUAUUUUAAAUCAUCUAUUGCAUCUUGCCUAUGCCGCUCUGUCAUUGCUCAUCCAUAUAUUUAUGUGUGUAUGUAUUUUUAUUCCUUUACCUAGAAUUGUGUGUGUUUUAGGAAGUUGUUGUGGAAUUGAUAUAUAUUUCUGCACUGUUGGAAGCACACACAUUUCACUACACUUUCAAUAACAUCUGCUAACGAUGUGUAUGUGACCAGUAAAAUUUUAUUUGAUGUCUGUUCAAUUACUUGAAUAGUAUUUUAGUUUGUUGUGUGAGCCCAUCGCAUCGUUUUCUCUAAAGAGAGACAUCAAGUUAAUAACUGUGGGACACUGGGCUGAAGGGAGUUGUAGUUUUCAUGAAUCAAAUAUUUAACCUACAUUGAACAAAAAAUAUAAACGCACCAUGUAAAGUGUGGGUCCUAUGUGUCAUGAGCUGAAACAAAAUAUCCCAGAAAUGUUCCAUAUUCACAAAAAGCACAUUUCUGUCAUUUUGUGCACAAAUUUGUUUACAUCUCUGUGAGUGAGCAUUUCUCCUUUGCCGAGGUAAUCCAUCCACUUGACAGGUGUGGCAUAUCAAGAAGCUGAUUAAACAGCAUGAUCACUACACAGGUGCACCUUGUGCUGGGGACAAUUAAAGGCCACUUUAAAAUGUGCAGGUUUGUCACACAACACAAUGCCACAGAUGUCUGAAGUUUUAAUGGAGUGUGCAAUUGGCACGCUGACUGCUGGAAUGUCCACCAGAGGUAUUGCCAGAGAAUUUAAUGUUAACUUCUCUGCCAUAAGCUGACUCCAACGUCGUUUUAGAGGAAUUUCCAGUGCGCCCACCCAGUCUCACAACUGCAGACCACUUGUAACUACGCCAGCCCAGGACCUCAACAUCUGGCUUCUUCACCUACGGGAUCGUCUAUUGGAGAGGGGGUGCAGAGGAGUAUUUAUGUCUGUAAUAAAUCCCUUUUGUUUGUAAAACUCAUUCUGAGUGGCUGGGCCUGCCUCCGCAGCGGGUGGGCCUGGAUGCAUAUUGGGUGGGCCGAUGCCCUCCCCGGCCUACCCAUGGCUGCGCCCCUGCCCAGUCAUGUGAAAUCCAUAGAUUAGGGCCUAAUGAAUUUAUUCAAAUCGACUGAUUUCCUUUAUAUGAACUGUAUCCCAGUAAAAAUCUUUAUUGCACAUGGCGGCGGUUAUAAACUGCUCAAGGGAACAGGGAACACUUAAACAAUACAAUGUAACUCCAAGUCAAUCACACUUCUGUGAAAUCAAACUGUCCACUUAGGAAGCAACACUGAUUGACAAUAAAUUUCACAUGCUGUUGUGCAAAUGGAAUAGACAACAGGUGGAAAUUAUAGGCAAUUAGCAAGACAUCCCCAAUAAAGGAGUGGUUCUACAGGUGGUGACCACAGACCACUUCUCAGUUCCUAUGCUUCCUGGCUGAUGUUUUGGUCACUUUUGAAUUCUGGCGGUGCUUUCACUCUAGUGGUAGCAUGAGACGGAGUCUACAACCCACACAAGUGGCUCAGGUAGUGCAGCUCAUCCAAGAUGGAACAUCAAUGCGAGCUGUGGCAAGAAGGUUUGCUGUGUCUGUCAGCGUAGUGUCCAGAGCAUGGAGGCGCUACCAGGAGACAGGCCAGUACAUCAGGAGACGUGGAGGAGGCCGUAGGAGGGCAACAACCCAGCAGCAGGACCGCUACCUCCGCCUUUGUGCAAGGAGGAGCACUGCCAGAGCCCUGCAAAAUGACCUCCAGCAGGCCACAAAUGUGCAUGUGUCUGCUCAAACGGUCAUAAACAGACUCCAUGAGAGUGGUAUGAGGGCCCGACGUCCACAGGUGGGGGUUGUGCUUACAGGCCAACACCGUGCAGGACUUUUGGCAUUUGCCAGAGAACACCAAGAUUGGCAAAUUCGCCACUGGCGCCCUGUGCUCUACACAGAUGAAAGCAGGUUCUCACUGAGCACAUGUGACAGACGUGACAGUCUGGAGACGCCGUGGAGAACGUUCUGCUGCCUGCAACAUCCUCCAGCAUGACCGGUUUGGCGGUGGGUCAGUCAUGGUGUGGGGUGGCAUUUCUUUGGGGGGCCGCACAGCCCUCCAUGUGCUCGCCAGAGGUAGCCUGACUGCCAUUAGGUACCGAGAUGAGAUCCUCAGACCCCUUGUGAGACCAUGUGCUGGUGCGGUUUGCCCUGGGUUCCUCCUAAUGCAAGACAAUGCUAGACCUCAUGUGCCUGGAGUGUGUCAUCAGUUCCUGCAAGAGGAAGGCAUUGAUGCUGUGGACUGGCCCGCCCGUUCCCCAGACCUGAAUUGAGCACAUCUGGGACAUCAUGUCUCGCUCCAUCCACCAACGCCACAUUGCACCACAGACUGUCCAGGAGUUGGCGGAUGCUUUAACCCAGGUCUGGAGAUCCCUCAGGAGACCAUCCACCACCUCAUCAGGAGCAUGCCCAGGCGUUGUAGGGAGGUCAUACAGACACAUGGAGGCCACACACACUACUGAGCCUCAUUUUGACUUGUUUUAAGGACAUUACAUCAAAGUUGGAUCAGCCUGUAGUGUGGUUUUCCACUUUAAUUUUGAGUGCAACUCCAAAUCCAGACCUCCAUGGGUUGAUACAUUUGAUUUCCAUUGAUAAUUUUUGCGUGCUUUUGUAAAGAACUAUGUAAAGAAAAAAGUAUUUAAUAAGAAUAUUUCAUUCAUUCAGAUCUAGGAUGUGUUAUUUUAGUGUUCCCUUUAUUUUUUUUGAGCAGUGUAUAUAUUAUUCCUUCGGUAUAGUUCAGCGCAGAAAUAUGUUAAUGAACUACAAUGACCAUAAUCCAUUGCACCUGUUCUUUCCGCCUCUAACAGAGAUGGAUACAUUUUCCUUACGCUACUUUUCUAAUACUUUAGGUUAGAUACUUUAGGUUAGAUACACACAGACUGGAUGAGAGCGGAAUGUACACACGAGGAGAGAGUGCGAUAGACAGUUUGUGAAAGUAUGCCUUAUUUACUUUGAAGAACUAGUCAAAUGAUUGUCAUAACUUUAAGGAAUGAAAAAUGGAAAAGUCGUCAAAUAAAAAGUCUGUUAUUUACACAA
This is a long non-coding RNA of Oncorhynchus nerka (sockeye salmon), 12485 nucleotides long. RefSeq lists it as uncharacterized. The transcript is spliced from 2 exons. The record is from RefSeq and is a predicted model, not a curated record. Lineage: Eukaryota; Metazoa; Chordata; Actinopteri; Salmoniformes; Salmonidae.